RNAcentral lists this ribosomal RNA (253 nucleotides) under uncultured bacterium. RNAcentral's name for it is "partial 16S ribosomal RNA". It matches the Rfam family "Bacterial small subunit ribosomal RNA", at positions 524 to 776 of the family's 1533-position model. The record is from RNAcentral.
UACGAAGGGGGCUAGCGUUGCUCGGAAUUACUGGGCGUAAAGCGCACGUAGGCGGAUUGUUAAGUCGGGGGUGAAAUCCUGGAGCUCAACUCCAGAACUGCCUUCGAUACUGGCGAUCUCGAGUUCGGGAGAGGUGAGUGGAACUGCGAGUGUAGAGGUGAAAUUCGUAGAUAUUCGCAAGAACACCAGUGGCGAAGGCGGCCCACUGGCCCGAUACUGACGCUGAGGUGCGAAAGCGUGGGGAGCAAACAGG